Molecule: long non-coding RNA, 3818 nt
Organism: Quercus robur (English oak)
Lineage: Eukaryota; Viridiplantae; Streptophyta; Magnoliopsida; Fagales; Fagaceae
Exons: 3
Source: RefSeq, a predicted model, not a curated record
AAUAAAAAAAAAAAAAACCCUAAACUACUCUCUGAUUUCUAACUCGAUCUUUCACCUUCUCUCUCACUCUCUCCCUUUGACUCCCAAACCCUCACCUUCAACCCACCCCUCUCUACCACCGAUCCUCCUUAUUGGCACACAAGCACUCUUCUUCGUCUCUGUUCACCUUCUCUCUCACUCUCUCCCUUUGACUCCUAAACCCUCACCUUCAACCCACCCUUCUUUACCACCGAUCCUCCUCACUGGCACACAAGCACUCUUCUUCGUCUCUGUUCUCCUCGCCCUUCUCUUCUUCUUCUUCUUCGAAAAUCCCCGAGCUUGAUAAGUCCAAGAAACCGCUCCCCCAACCCACUAAGCUGCCCAAAAAGUAUGAGAUUGUUGCUCGGUUGUUGCGGUUGAAGGGUUCCUCAUCCUCUGUUACCAACAUUUGACCCAAAAUUGAGUGUUUAACUGAUAGUAUGCACAUGCACACAAACAGAGAUAGAGAUCUUGUGGUUCACUGCUGUUGUUUCCACAGUCAAAUUGUUGAGAGGAAAUCCGAGCAAAGGCUUAACAUUGCCUUGAUGCACAUCCAUAAAAUAUAUGAACUCUUCCUCUUAUUGUGUGUGAGUUUCACAGCUAUAAAACACGUGUAAAAAGGAGGUUACAUGUAUGAUGCAUGGAAGAGUUGUGAGACAGAUCACACAUGCAUAUUCAUGAGACAAUUAUUGACAGAUAUGGUACUUGAAGUUGAAGCCUUUAGGGGUUUUUUAUACUAAAUUUUUUGCAUGGGUAGUUCAAAGAGAAGGGUAAAGGGUAAAUGGGUUUCUUCAAUAUUGUGAAGUAUGAGUGGAAUUUCAUGCAUGACUCACCCACACUAAUCUUUUACAGAGAAAGUAUAGGUGAGCCUCACCUAUACUCUCUGUAAAGGGGUAUUCUUUCUUUGAAGAAAAUGAAUAAGUUUUUGAAUGAAAACAGCCUCUUUCCUCGGGUGACCAAUUCAUUUCUACAAGUCAAAUUGAAUUUGUUUAUGCUUUAUUUAACUACUCAAUCUUAGUGAUUAGAUCUCCUGAGCAGGAAAUUGGAUCGAAAGAAACUCAUGUUAGAAUACUGAGUAAAAUGAUCAAAUUCACUAUUUCUUAGUAGUUUUUAAGCUUUUAGUAUAAAUGAUAAUUUAUCAUGAUAUUAAAAAAAAUGGUCUUGAACUAUUAAUUUCACGUUUCCUAACAGGUUAAGCUAGUAAUUUAUUAACUGAAAAUUAUGAAUAAUGUUUCAAAUUGAUAUGAUAAUGAUUAACUACACUAUUUGUUAAUAGUUUAAUUUUUUUUGAUAUAAAUCGUAAUAUAUCAUGAUAUCAAAACAAGUGAUCUUAACUCUUAAAUAAUUAAAUCCACGGUUUCUUGACAUGUUAAGCUAGCAAUUUAUUAGCUAAAACUAUGAAUAAUGUUUGAAACUGAUAUGUACAUCUAUAGUAUUAACAAGAAAAGUACCUGGAGCUAUAUAGCUGUAAGAUCCUGCCAUUGCAGGCAUGCACUUUAAUGUUCCUGUAUCUUGUAAGAACUUGGCAAGUCCAAAAUCUGCUACAUAAGCCUCGAAAUCAGAGUUAAGUAAAAUGUUAUUGGACUUGACAUCACUUCCAUUCUACAUCUUAGUGCUUUAUAUCAAAUAGAAUGCUUGAUGUAUAUAUAUAAAAUUCUAAUUUUUGUUUUUGAACUCACCAUCUUUGUGGAGGCUGCCAAACUUUGCUGUGAGGAUUAAGAUUUUCUGUUCAGUGUCAUUACUCUUAUUCACACUUUAUUCUUUCAAUGAUUUCUAUUAACUUAUAAGAUGCUAUACAAAAGACCAUUUCAUGAAUUCCCAUACACAUUCUUCUAUCUUCCAGUUAAAAAUUUAGCAUUCAGUCAAGACCUUCAAGUUCAUGCCUGUAUAACAUGUGGGGACUGCUUCCUAGUUUUUGGUGUCAGCCAUGGUUUUGUUAAAGGGAGAUUGGUUUGUGAUAAUUUGUUGUAAGCAUGACUUGAUUCAAAAAAUUAGAUAGACUAAUAAGGUGAAAACUGGAAACUUGGUUUGUAGCUUUUAAAGUUGAUAUGAAUAGAGCUAAUGAUUGACUUACCUAGGACUUCAUUUUGGUUGUGCUAGGAAAAUUGAAUUGUAGUUGUCAUUAAAUCAACUUGAUUUAGCAGUGCAUCUGUACAGUUUCUUUUCAAAUUCCAUUGAAUGGUUCACUGGUUAAAAUUAUUUUCCCUCAAUGUGGCUUAAGGUAAAGGGUCCACUUUCACCUUUAUCCUUUGUCUCUAGCCUUAUUGGAGUGAGAAUUUCGAGGUAUUAUUAAAGGAGUAUGGAUUGCAAGAAAUCUGAACCCAAUUUCUCAUCUCAUGUUUGCAAAUGAUUGCAUUGUUUUUGUGAGGCACUAAUGAUACGCAAGAAAAUGUUUUGAAAAGUUAGUGGUAUUGUGACCUUUCUAGAGAGAUUGUAAUUUUGAUAAAUCUGAGGUGUUUUUUAGUCCUAACACUCCUGAGCAGGGUAUAAACCCUAUGUUAGCUCUUUUUAAGGUGAAAAAAGGUGAUGGACUUGGUAAGUAUUUGGGUCUAACUUAGAUACGAGUCAGAAAAAGACAUCAUUUUUUUUUUUUUUUUUCAUUUUUUUCUUUAUAUAGACUUGUUAUUGAUCAUACAUUAGAUUUGAACCUAUAAUGUUUGAUAUGGCACUAUUCUAUAAAUUCUUAUUAUUGUUGAUUGAUUACUUUAGUUAAGUGGCUUUAUCUCUAGGAUAAGUAGCUUAUCUAGGUCGUGGUCGCUACUAUCUAUUAUACUGAGGUGAUAGUGGAUUACGUAGCAUGUAUACAUGAAAUUGUUUAUCUUCAUUUCAAAUUUUCUUUAAUAUAGCUUGUUCUUCAAUUUCAGAUAUGAAUUGCUAAAUGAAAGAACAAUUGAGUAAAUGUCUCCCUCUUUUGUUUUUGCUUUUGUUUAUUGGGUGAAAGUAAGUGAGUUUCUUUGGAAGGUAGGUCUUGUAGUUUGGCAAUUGGAGUUGCAUUUGUAUUUUGCUGCAGGUCUUCAGUAUAUUAUGCUAUUUUUGCAAUCUCUUGUCCACAUUUCUCCAAUCUGGUUAGGGGCCUAAUUGAUUUGUGGACCUAACAUUUAAUAUUCUCUGCAAAAGUACUUAUCCAUUGUGAUUGAGCUGCGUUUUAUUGUUUAUUGGUGGAAUGCUUGUGAUUAUAAAGUGAAAUUUUAAGAAAAUUUAAUAGUACAAUAAAGGACAGCAAUGAAAGAGAUUUCUUGAUUGAAUUUUGAGCCUUUCAACUUUAUACAUCCUAGAAAAGGUAAAAGCUAGGACGCUGAGAAUUUAAGUAUAUGGGAAAUUGGAGUAUAAAGUUUGUGGGGAUGUCCAUUGUGAAUAAAUUUGUAUUGGGAAAAGUGCUUAUGAAAUUUAAACAAGAAAAACAGUCCAAUCUAGGAUUGGAGAAAGAUAUAUGUUUUCUAAAAUUAUAAAUCAUGAUAAUUAAUCCCUUGCAUCCACCAGAGUCAUGUCAUUGACUAUGUGGAGGCUAUUUUUUAGGUCAUUGUGGGAGAAGUUGAGCAAGAUUGAUGAGGUUGAGAGUAAUAUUUCUGAUAAUAUUUCUUGAGUAAUAUCAACGCAAUUAGUUGGCCUAAGUCAUUAUAAUGGUGCUGACUUAUGGUCAUGGAAAAUAGCCUGCAAUAAAAUUAGUGCUUUGGGAAAUUUAUAUUAAGCCCUUUUAGAUAAUUUGGAAGAAUUUAUUGAAGAGAAUGUAACAUAGUAUUUCUGGUACUUUGCAUUCAAUGCAUCAAGCUUCUUUAAGUAAAAAUCUUUUGUUGGGAACU